CUGCUGCCUCCCGUAGGAGUCUGGGCCGUGUCUCAGUCCCAGUGUGGCCGUCCACCCUCUCAGGCCGGCUGCUGAUCGCNUUCGUGGGCGGUCCCGUCCCAC
RNAcentral lists this ribosomal RNA (102 nucleotides) under uncultured bacterium. RNAcentral describes it as "partial 16S ribosomal RNA". The record is from RNAcentral.